Molecule: ribosomal RNA, 746 nt
Filed under: uncultured bacterium
Lineage: Bacteria
Description: bacterial SSU rRNA
Rfam family: Bacterial small subunit ribosomal RNA
Source: RNAcentral
CAGUCGAGGGGCAGCGGAGAGGUAGCAAUACCUUUGCCGGCGACCGGCGCACGGGUGAGUAACACGUAUGCAAUCCACCUGUAACAGGGGGAUAACCCGGAGAAAUCCGGACUAAUACCCCAUAAUAUGGGUUCUCCGCAUGGAGGGUCCAUUAAAGAGAGCAAUUUUGGUUACAGACGAGCAUGCGCUCCAUUAGCCAGUUGGCGGGGUAACGGCCCACCAAAGCGACGAUGGAUAGGGGUUCUGAGAGGAAGGUCCCCCACAUUGGAACUGAGACACGGUCCAAACUCCUACGGGAGGCAGCAGUGAGGAAUAUUGGUCAAUGGUCGGCAGACUGAACCAGCCAAGUCGCGUGAGGGAAGACGGCCCUACGGGUUGUAAACCUCUUUUGUCGGAGAGUAAAGUACGCUACGUGUAGCGUAUUGCAAGUAUCCGAAGAAAAAGCAUCGGCUAACUCCGUGCCAGCAGCCGCGGUAAUACGGAGGAUGCAAGCGUUAUCCGGAUUUAUUGGGUUUAGAGGGUGCGUAGGCGGCACGCCAAGUCAGCGGUGAAAUUUCCGGGCUCAACCCGGACUGUGCCGUUGAAACUGGCGAGCUAGAGUGCACAAGAGGCAGGCGGAAUGCGUGGUGUAGCGGUGAAAUGCAUAGAUAUCACGCAGAACCCCGAUUGCGAAGGCAGCCUGCUAGGGUGCGACAGACGCUGAGGCACGAAAGCGUGGGUAUCGAACAGGAUUAGAUACCCUGGUA